GACGAACGCUAGCGGCGUGCCUAAUACAUGCAAGUUGAGCGCUGAAGGUUGGUACUUGUACCAACUGGAUGAGCAGCGAACGGGUGAGUAACGCGUGGGGAAUCUGCCUUUGAGCGGGGGACAACAUUUGGAAACGAAUGCUAAUACCGCAUAAAAACUUUAAACACAAGUUUUAAGUUUGAAAGAUGCAAUUGCAUCACUCAAAGAUGAUCCCGCGUUGUAUUAGCUAGUUGGUGAGGUAAAGGCUCACCAAGGCGAUGAUACAUAGCCGACCUGAGAGGGUGAUCGGCCACAUUGGGACUGAGACACGGCCCAAACUCCUACGGGAGGCAGCAGUAGGGAAUCUUCGGCAAUGGACGAAAGUCUGACCGAGCAACGCCGCGUGAGUGAAGAAGGUUGUCGGAUCGUAAAACUCGGUUGGUAGAGAAGAACGUUGGUGAGAGUGGAAAGCUCAUCAAGUGACGGUAACUACCCAGAAAGGGACGGCUAACUACGUG
Molecule: ribosomal RNA, 497 nt
Filed under: uncultured bacterium
Lineage: Bacteria
Description: partial 16S ribosomal RNA
Rfam family: Bacterial small subunit ribosomal RNA
Source: RNAcentral